UACGGAUAAAAAAACUUGUAACAGCCCUGCCCAAAUUGCCCGUAACUAUUUAAUAUUCUAUCUUCACUUUCUUGAACCGUGGAUUCGAGCAACUCAGAGCUCUAACUGCUUGACUUCUAAUCUAAUAUGUCUUAACAUCUUGCAUAACACUAAUGGAAAAAAAAAUAAGGGUGAAUAAAACUUUUUAAGAGGAUAAACAAAUAACAAAAGGAAUUAAACAAGGAUUGAAAUAAACAUGUAUAAUACUAUAUCAUUCUUAAAAACCUUUAGUCUAAAGAAAAUAUCAUUACUAUUCUAAAUAUAAAUAUUUAAUUAAAAAC
This 320-nucleotide long non-coding RNA is filed under the name Ricinus communis (castor bean). RNAcentral's name for it is "long non-coding RNA (RCOM_LNC001614)". Lineage: Eukaryota; Viridiplantae; Streptophyta; Magnoliopsida; Malpighiales; Euphorbiaceae. The record is from RNAcentral.